This 439-nucleotide ribosomal RNA is filed under the name uncultured bacterium. Its description in RNAcentral is "partial 16S ribosomal RNA". It matches the Rfam family "Bacterial small subunit ribosomal RNA", at positions 339 to 795 of the family's 1533-position model. The record is from RNAcentral.
CUACGGGUCGCUCCAGUGAGGAAUAUUGCACAAUGGGGGGAACCCUGAUGCAGCAACGCCGCGUGGAGGAUGACGCAUUUCGGUGUGUAAACUCCUUUUAUAUGUCAAGAAAAUGACGGUAGCAUAUGAAUAAGCACCGGCUAACUCCGUGCCAGCAGCCGCGGUAAUACGGAGGGUGCAAGCGUUACUCGGAAUCACUGGGCGUAAAGGACGCGUAGGCGGGUUGGAAAGUCAGGUGUGAAAUCCUACAGCUUAACUGUAGAACUGCACUUGAAACUUCUAAUCUAGAGUAUGGGAGGGGGAGAUGGAAUUAGUGGUGUAGGGGUAAAAUCCGUAGAUAUCACUAGGAAUACCUAAAGCGAAGGCGAUCUCCUGGAACAUUACUGACGCUAAGGCGUGAAAGCGUGGGGGGCAAACGGGAUUAGAUACCCCCGUAGUC